GCGAGCCCAGAGGCCCAGUGGAUCUGAAGGCUGUGGGUGGCGUGGGGAGUCGCUGACUUCCGGCCGAGGAGCUCUGCCAGUCAUCUCCCCGGGAUGGACAGAGCGGGCGGUAGCCGCCAAGGAUGCUGCCAGGGAGCUUGAGAGGAAAGGGCUGACCUCGCCUGAGGGCUCCCCUUCUCCUCCUGGAGAACUAGAAGGUGCCCCACCUGACUCUGCCCGGAAAGAUGUAGGACCCCCAGUGAAUCCAGGUGGAGAGGACAUGAUGAUGGGAAAGGUGUGGCUUUAAGAAGCUGAGAAAGUUUCCCAGCUGGCAUCCAGCAAGGAACUGAACUCUGCCAGCAACCUAAAUGAUCCUGGAAGUGAACCGCCCCCAGGGUCUACAUAGAGCCUAGAUCAACAGACACCUUGACUUUGGCCUUGAGGCCCUCGGACGAGCCAUGUCGUGUUGGACCUCUGACCUAGGGGACUGGAGGGAGACCACCAACUUGAAAGACAAGAGAUUUCCAUGGCCCUCUGGCUCUCCAACUGGCCUCUACUGGCACAUAGGGACAGCCACUCCACUUGUCAUCCAAGCCACCAAUGGAAACGCUCAGCAGGACAGAGCUGGGGGCAACUUUGCCAGAACGCUUGGUCCCAACUUUCUAGAGUGUGGUUCUCCUCCAGAACGUGCCCUCUGGGUUGACACCCAUCCAGUCACUGCAUCCCCAUGAAGACAGUGGUUCAAACAGCCACCCUCCCACCCAACUGUACCAGCACGUGGAUAGAGUUCUCAGUCUCGUCCUGAAACACAAUCUCUUCUCCUACUGAUGUGCUCAUCCUGGAACUCAGCCAAGGAAGACAGUGGAUGGACUGACAUACUUGCUCCCAGAGGGUCAGGCUCCUUCCAGGAAGCACUUGGGGACAGAGAGUGCAGUGCAGUGGUUAGGGCCCAGGCCCUGCUGCUGGGCCCCCUCAGAGUGAGUUGGGCUGUGUGUUUUAAUCACUCACCAGGCAAGCUGUUUAACCUCUCUCUGCCCCACUAAACCUCACCUGCAGAGUUGAAGUAACCAUGGUACCCAUUUCAUAGGGUGGUCAUGAGGCUUGACAGAGCUUGGAAAACCCAAGUAUUAGAUAUUCUUUUUACUACUUGCUUCUCUAGAUAUGAGCCUUCCCUGGGGGCUCAAAUGGUAGUCUGCCUGCAAUGUAGGCGAUAUGGGUUCAUUCCCUGGG
Molecule: long non-coding RNA, 1209 nt
Organism: Cervus elaphus (red deer)
Lineage: Eukaryota; Metazoa; Chordata; Mammalia; Artiodactyla; Cervidae
Exons: 3
Source: RefSeq, a predicted model, not a curated record